AGAUGGAUAGUGAACAAGCUAAACAGAAAAGCGAUUGUUCAUACAAUUAGGGACCAUAAUCCAGUUACUGUAGUUAAUCCUGGAACAGCAGCAGAUAAGAAAGUUGUUUUUAUUACUAAAUAAUAACAAGCAUGUCUAACGCAAUAUCGAAUAUUAUCUUCAAUAACACGUAUAAUGUCCAUAACCAUGGUGAUUGUCAUGCUGUACAGUUCGGAAAAUCAAACCUCAUCCGGGAAGCAAGGAGCCAUUCCGAAGAUGAAGAUGACGACCUCAGAUCUCAAAUUGAAGAUCUAAAAUAUGAAAUGAACCGGAGACUUGAAGAAAGAGAUGAAAUGAAAACUCAACUAAAGGACUUGACUUUGAAGUUGGAGAGACAAGAUAAAGAAAUGGCCGAAUUAAAAGACAGGGUUGCUCACGUUGAAAGAUGGAAGAGGGGAGUAGAACAUUUAGAAGUUAAGAAAACUAAUAGAAAUUAUAACAGAAAGGAAAGUAAUGAGAUUACUCUUCUGAUAACACGAUCCGAGAGCUGGCCACGUGACAAGGAUACUAUAACUGUGAGUAAGAAAGUUGGUGUUAAUGAUUUAACCAAGUUGAUACAAGAAAAGAAUGGUGUGGAGAUUAAUCAUAUUGUUAUAGCGGAAGAUAAUGGCGGGAUGCUCAUCUACAGCAGCCGUCUUAACAAGAAGAACGGUGAUCGUAGUCUCGAACAACUUGGUGUUGUAGAUCAGGACAAUGUUUUGUAUUGUUGUAAAACAAGGGUCGAGUCUACUACAAAACUGUAAAAAAAAAACCAAUGGGUGGGGUGUGUGUGGAUGUGGGGGUGGCGGCUAGUGGUCUAGAGUGUGUGCGCUUCGUGCUCGAACUGGUCGGUCACCUCUGACUUCCGGUCGUGGUUUGGAUCCCCGGUGUGAGCGUAUGUGACUUGGAAACAGCGGCGACUUCUCAAUCUCAUGGGUUUAUUCCCAGUGUUACGCUUUCCAACCACAGGACAGACCCCUGCACCUGCGCUAAUACAAUAACUUGUCUGCGAUAUUACCCUCGGUGGAAGCGGACGUUAAACACUAGAAGUCCUAUUAAUCACUGACAAGAGGGUUUAUUGGUCAAUAACGUCCAGAGUAGUACAUAAGGUGACCGACAAAUACAAAAUGCAUUUUCUACUUACCAUAUCUAAUUUUAAAAGAUUUCAUA
Patella vulgata (common limpet) is the source of this 1188-nucleotide long non-coding RNA. RefSeq lists it as uncharacterized. The transcript is spliced from 3 exons. The record is from RefSeq and is a predicted model, not a curated record. NCBI's taxonomy places the organism in Eukaryota, Metazoa, Mollusca, Gastropoda, Patellidae.